GGAGCCGGUGUCGUGGUCGCGGGACCUUGCGAGGUCCUGAGGAAAGUCCGAGCUCCGCAGGGCAGGGUGCUGGGUAACCCCCAGUGGGAGCGAUCCCAAGGAAAGUGCCACAGAAAGCAAACCGCCCUCCGCGAUGCGAUUCCCGGAUUCGACUGCCCGGAACGGUGCAGCGAGCCGGGGGUCCGCGGGGGUAAGGGUGAAACGGUGAGGUAAGAGCUCACCAGUGCCGGCGGCGACGCCGGCAGCUCGGCAAACCCCACCCGGAGCAAGACCAAAUAGAGGAGGAGAGAUGGCCCGUCUCGUCACCACUCCCGGGUUCGGUCGCUCGAGGCGGUCGGCGACGGCCGCCCCAGACAAAUGACCACAGCGAGACAUCGUCCCGCAACAGAACUCGGCUUACCGCCGACUCCCCCG
This 414-nucleotide RNase P RNA is filed under the name Candidatus Latescibacterota bacterium. RNAcentral's name for it is "RNase P RNA component class A". It matches the Rfam family "Bacterial RNase P class A". From Rfam's summary of the family: Ribonuclease P (RNase P) is a ubiquitous endoribonuclease, found in archaea, bacteria and eukarya as well as chloroplasts and mitochondria. Its best characterised activity is the generation of mature 5'-ends of tRNAs by cleaving the 5'-leader elements of precursor-tRNAs. Lineage: Bacteria; Pseudomonadati; Candidatus Latescibacterota. RNAcentral also lists the same sequence under 1 other name. The record is from RNAcentral.